Molecule: long non-coding RNA, 2160 nt
Organism: Chenopodium quinoa (quinoa)
Lineage: Eukaryota; Viridiplantae; Streptophyta; Magnoliopsida; Caryophyllales; Amaranthaceae
Exons: 3
Source: RefSeq, a predicted model, not a curated record
GCAAGUAAAAUUCGUCCUUCAAAUUUAAUAAAUUACCACAAUUAUUCAAGCACUUUACUGUAUAAGUGUAUAUAUCAUCAGCACUACUAAAUUUGAAAUGGUUUGUGAUGAAUGUGAUCAAUUAUACCGGUAUGUACUAGCACGACAUUACACACGGACACGGGGGUGGGGGAGGGAAGGAAAAAUAACGAAUGUUGAAAAGGAAAAAAGCAAAUCCUUAACUCGUGAGAAAACAAAAACACAAAACACAAACCCAUGUUAGGUUUAUCCCCCACUAAUUCACUAAAACCAAGAGUCCUUGAUAUUUGAUAUUUUGAUUCCAACCACCGGCCUUUCGGGACCAAACCUCCGGCGAGGCGGCGACUAGACCCUGACCUUCGGUGUUGUUCUUUCACUUUCCCAAAAUCCCCAAUUUAAUUUCAAAGUAAGUUAUACUCCCUCCGUUUUGUAAUAAUCGCAACACUUUCUUUACAUCUAUUUUAUAAUAGUUUGCAACAUUUCCUAUUUUAGUAAGGAUCCACUACUAUUUUAUUAUUUCUCUCUCCUACUUACCCCACUUGCUUAAAUAUUUAAUUAUUUCGCUCUUUACAAACCCCACUUAUAUUAUUUUUUAUUAUUUCUCUCUGCUACCGACAAUAAAAUAUAUUCUCACUAACUAUACUUUAUAUUAUAAAAUUCACCCUAUCCCUAUGAUCCCUACCCUAUAAAUUUUCUAAAACUUUGUGCAAGACCUACUAUUGCGAUUAAUACGAUGGAAGGAGUAACCAUAAAUCCCUAAUUUGAUUAAAGUCAUAUUUUUGUUUUUUUGUUUUGUUGUUGUUGUUUAAUUGUUUAUGUUGUUGUCUAUUUAGUUCUCUAAUUGUCUUGUUCCAUUAAUCUAUUGUUGAUUUGUUGAAUGUUGAAUGAGUACUUGAGUUAUUAUGUGAUUUUUUUGAAAUUUUAAGUUAAUUGUGUAUUUGUGUUUUUUUGUGUUGUGCCUAAUUUUUUGUUGUUUAGAUGGGUCAGAAAUUUAGAAUGUUAGAAAUUUGAAUACUUGGUUGAAUAAUUGUCUUUAAAUAGUUAUGGUAAUUGAUAAAUUGAAUAGUUGACUAAUUAGUUUAUUAUUUCCAAUUUAUUAGGACAUAUCACAAACUCAAUCUUCGACAAUUUAUGUCUAAAAGAAUGAAAUCCCAAGAUAUACCCCCUUCGUUUAGUUCUCACCAAACUCAAGAAGAUGAUAUGGAAAUUGGUGUUUCAAAUGCUAGUAAUGUAGUACUGGAGGAUGAAGAAUUGGUACACGAUCACUACUAGAAAAAAAUUUAUAUUAAUAUUAAAACGAGUUUUUCAUUAAAUCCGCUGCAAAUGAAUAAUAUCCUCCUUUACCCUAAACCCUCAUUUCAGAUUUCACUCUCCCUCCCUCUUCCAACUUGAUCAGCUUAAAAAAAUGCUCUCAACCGCCCCAACCAUCACCGUCAAAUCAGUCACUCUUCAAAACCCUCACCGUCACCACCCGUUUUCACCGUCACUUCUUCCGCUCGACAUAGUCCUCCCUUUCACUCACUCACUGACAAAGGUGUGGAUUCUGGUGACACUAUCAACAUCCAUAAAGGUGGUAACUCUGAGCAACAUCUGGAAAUUUGUAAAUAAGAUUUAGGUAUUUUUAGUAUUUACUAUCCAGCUAUCUGAGUUUUUUGAAAAUGCGAGGUGUACAGCAUUUACAUGUGAUCCUCUAAUUGCUUCCUUAAUGCCUUUUUACACAAUAGUAGAAAUGGUUCAGAUCUUCAUGUGGAUGCUAAUAUAAGCUUUAUACAGAUUUGCACGUUUUUAAAUGAAGAUCCUUAUACCGAUGGUGAUAUUGAAGAAGUGCGGAACAUAUGGGACUCAUAUUCACUAAUUAUUGUGUGUGAUCAUAGUUGUUAACAAUAUUUUGUGUUUUGUUUUGGAUUGAUAUAUGUACGAACAAAAGUGAAUCGUACAUUUUAUCAUAUAUUGUGAUAAUUUAAUUUGGGCUAAUUAAAGUAUUUUGUUCAUAAAGUUCAGGAAUACAGGUCCUUCAUGAGUAUAUUACACAUAAAAACAAUGGAUAUGCUGCCGAAAUUUUAUUUCAUUCAUUAUAUAUUACCAAAUAAUAGUAUUUUUUUUUUAAAAAAAUACUAUUAAUUAGCAGCGGAUGUUACACAA